RNAcentral lists this ribosomal RNA (995 nucleotides) under uncultured bacterium. RNAcentral describes it as "bacterial SSU rRNA". It matches the Rfam family "Bacterial small subunit ribosomal RNA", at positions 39 to 1067 of the family's 1533-position model. The record is from RNAcentral.
GCGGUGUGCCUAAUACAUGCAAGUCGAGCGGUAAGGCCCCUUCGGGGGUACACGAGCGGCGGACGGCUGAGUAACACGUAGGAACGUACCCCAAAGUGAGGGAUAAGCACCAGAAAUGGUGUCUAAUACCGCAUGUGGCCUUCGGGCUAAAGCUUUAUGCGCUUUGGGAACGGCCUGCGCAUGAUUAGCUUGUUGGUGAGGUAAUAGCUCACCAAGGCGACGAUCAUUAGCUGGUCUGAGAGGAUGAUCAGCCAGACUGGGACUGAGACACGGCCCAGACUCCUACGGGAGGCAGCAGUAGGGAAUUUUCCACAAUGGGCGAAAGCCUGAUGGAGCAACACCGCGUGCAGGAUGAAGGCCCUUGGGUCGUAAACUGCUUUUAUAUGUGACGAUUAUGACGGUAGCAUAUGAAUAAGGAUCGGCUAACUCCGUGCCAGCAGCCGCGGUCAUACGGAGGAUCCAAGCGUUAUCCGGAAUUACUGGGCGUAAAGAGUUGCGUAGGUGGCAUUGUAAGUUGGUAGUGAAAGCGUUCGGCUCAACCGGAUAUCCAUUACCAAAACUGCAAAGCUAGAGGAUGAGAGAGGUUAUUGGAAUUCCCUGUGUAGGAGUGAAAUCCGUAGAUAUAGGGAGGAACACCGAUGGCGUAGGCAGAUAACUGGCUCAUUCCUGACACUAAGGCACGAAAGCGUGGGUAGCAAACGGGAUUAGAUACCCCGGUAGUCCACGCCGUAAACUAUGGAUGCUAGCUGUAAGAGGUGUCGACCCCUCUUGUAGCGAAGCUAACGCGUUAAGCAUCCCGCCUGUGGAGUACGGUCGCAAGACUAAAACAUAAAGGAAUUGACGGGGACCCGCACAAGCGGUGGAGCGUGUUGUCUAAUUCGAUGGUAAGCGAAGAACCUUACCCAGGCUCGACAUCCUUGGAAUUUUGCCGAAAGGCGGGAGUACUUUAUUGGACCAAGUGACAGGUGUUGCAUGGCCGUCGUCAGCUCGUGUCG